GUGGAUUAGAUACCCUGGUAGUCCACGCCGUAAACGAUGAGUGCUAAGUGUUAGAGGGGUUUAACCCUUUAGUGCUGUAGCUAACGCGUUAAGCACUCCGCCUGGGGAGUACGGCCGCAAGGCUGAAACUCAAAGGAAUUGACGGGGGCCCGCACAAGCGGUGGAGCAUGUGGUUUAAUUCGAAGCAACGCGAAGAACCUUACCAGGUCUUGACAUCCCCUGACAACCCUGGAGACAGGGCGUUCCCCCUUCGGGGGGACAGGGUGACAGGUGGUGCAUGGCCGUCGUCAACU
RNAcentral lists this ribosomal RNA (293 nucleotides) under uncultured bacterium. RNAcentral describes it as "partial 16S ribosomal RNA". It matches the Rfam family "Bacterial small subunit ribosomal RNA", at positions 773 to 1060 of the family's 1533-position model. The record is from RNAcentral.